UACGGAGGGGGCUAGCGUUGUUCGGAAUUACUGGGCGUAAAGCGCACGUAGGCGGAUUGGCAAGUUGGAUGUGAAAGCCUUGAGCUCAACUCAAGAAAUGCAUUCAGGACUGGAUGGCUAGAGGACCGGAGAGGAUAGUGGAAUUCCCAGUGUAGUGGUGAAAUACGUAGAGAUUGGGAAGAACACCAGUGGCGAAGGCGGCUAUCUGGACGGUUUCUGACACUAAGACUCGAAAGCGUGGGGAGCAAACAGG
This 253-nucleotide ribosomal RNA is filed under the name uncultured bacterium. RNAcentral's name for it is "partial 16S ribosomal RNA". It matches the Rfam family "Bacterial small subunit ribosomal RNA", at positions 524 to 776 of the family's 1533-position model. The record is from RNAcentral.